UUCCAUCAGAAGACGAACUCUGCCGGGGAAUACAAGAGAUAAAACUCUGAAUGGGGAAUCAAUCAAAUUGUUGGGGAUGCUGUGACCUGUUUGAACGAACCAAAGACCAUAAAGUUCCUCAAUAUUCAUCAGAUUCUUCUUGUAAAUUGCGAAAUAAACCAAUUCCAAGGCAAAAAUAACCGGAUCAGGCUCACACAGGGGAGAAACUA
Molecule: long non-coding RNA, 209 nt
Filed under: Lathyrus oleraceus (garden pea)
Lineage: Eukaryota; Viridiplantae; Streptophyta; Magnoliopsida; Fabales; Fabaceae
Description: Pisum sativum (pea) long non-coding RNA (PSAT_LNC023638)
Source: RNAcentral